Molecule: long non-coding RNA, 4983 nt
Organism: Lytechinus pictus (painted urchin)
Lineage: Eukaryota; Metazoa; Echinodermata; Echinoidea; Temnopleuroida; Toxopneustidae
Exons: 4
Source: RefSeq, a predicted model, not a curated record
CACAGUUCCAGCGGAAUGUUUUGUUGAAGCUUCACGAUUGCUGAGACCUGCCAAACGUACCUGGAUAUAAAAGUGAACAUUUCGCUUUUCAGAGGAGGCUGAAAAGCACUCCACUACCAUAAGAACAUUUUGAUUGACUACAGAGGCUCAUAUUGCAGAUAUUUGCAAGAUGUCAAGCUUGCCAAUGGGUCACCAUGUAGGCAUACCGAAACCACAGCAGCAACAGAAUGACCUGGGUUAUGCACGGCAAUAUCAUGAUAGUAUGGUUGGAGAUCAUUACACCGCCUCACAACUUGGGGCUUACCAAAACUAUCAACAUAGAUUAAUGUACAAUACGUUAACGGCCCAAGCCAAUCAGCCGUCUGUCCCCAGGACAAUGCAUGGAGGUUAGUAGUGUUCUUAGUUGAUCUUGUUGUUGAGUCAUUGAAAGAAACAACUAACAUCAUCGAUUAACUUCAUUUUCUCUUUUUUCCAAGUCUAGUCUAGUGUGCUUUCAUGUACAUGUAUUUGUAGUUGAUUUGCAUUAUGUGUUAAACUUGUAUGAAUGUUGUGCAUAUGGUUCCCAUUCUAUUUAUUCACAGAUUUGUUUACCCUUUAUUCAUUGUCCCUCUUGUGAAUUGUCUGGUCUUUGGAUAUGAAGUCAAUCUUCAAAGAAAUCUAAACUUCUUUGUGUAGGUUGACAUGAAGCUUGGCUCUGUGAAGAUUUGUUUCUCCUAUGAUAAUACAUGUAAUUCAUUUUCCCCUUUUCAGUGCUUGUAUAUGUUUGCUUUGAAAGAAACACAUACUUCUUUAAUUCAGAUACUUACCAAAUUAAAUCCAUGAUGUUAAUUCUCUGACAUGAACAUUUAGUUUGCUCUCUGGUGAUGAUUUUGUACCCAGAAUGGUGGCUUUUAAAGGUGUUAAUUAAACAAAAAAUGAAAAGGUUAAAAAAGUUAGCAGGAUUCAGAACCUUAAAAGAUGGAUUUGUCACAGAGAACUUUUUUGACAUCCCACUCAAGUAUUUAACUAUGCGUAAACCUCACCACUUAUCAGAAAUAGAGUAUCACUUGCUUCUACUAUUCAAAUAUUUUGCCCACAGUGAAUAAUAAUUUUUAUAAUAUUUAAACAUGUAAACAGUCAUUGCAAAUUUGAUUCAGUACCCCCACCCUCCUGCAAGUAAUAUAUCUCAAAUAAUAAACUAAUUUAUGAAUCAUUUUAUGUAUUUAGAGUUAAUGCUAUAAACUUGUUACUAUAUUCUCUAAAGAUAUGAGACUGUUGACCUUUGCUUCAAAUAUUGCAAUCCUGGCAGCAGUUCCAGAUACCUUGAAUCACACUCCUACAGUGUCAAAUGCGUUCAUGAAUCUGAUGUUAACCUAAUAAGCAGCGGUUAAUUUCAGGGAGACAGAGGGAGAAGAAAUUGAAUCCAGGGAAUCCAGUAAUAUGGCCUAAGCUGCCUGUUGGUGUCAAGCAAAAAAUAAGAACAAAAAGAAAAUGGGGGAAAACAAAAUCAUUAAAAAGGGGGGAAACUCAUGGGGAAAACAAAGAGUGAAUAAGAGAGAUAGAGAAGGAGAGGGGAAAUAAAAAAGAGAGCUAGUGAGGGAAUUCAAUUUGAAGAUCUAGAGCAUCAUUUUUAAUCCCCAAAGUCCAGCACCUUCUGAAAAGUAAGAGGUUUUACGUCAUCCAGAUUCAAAUUCAUCACCUGAGAUAGAUUUUACACCACUAUGACAAUCUUCAAGAAUCACAUGUUCAUCUGCGAGUUUAUUUGUUUCUGAAUUUUGUGAGUGAGUUGAGAGAUGACACUGUCAAUGUGAUAUAAAUUCUAAAUGAAAUUUUGAUAUAGUAAGUAAUUAGCUGGUAACCAGCUCCUGGGAAAAUUGCUCCUCCGCUAACUUCUCUGAAGGUACAUGUAUAUUUACAUAAGAUGAGGUUUAGCAUUGUGAUAGGGUUUUUUGGUUCAGAAUCAUGUGAGGAUUAGGUUAAAUUUGGGUUUAUGUUGGGCUUAAUGUGUAAUUUUUGAUAGCAGUUAUUUCAGGAGUAAAUAGGUGGUUUCAAACCGCCUCGAUCACAAGAAUCCCCGUUAAAUUACGAGAACUUUUUUAGGCUGAAAAAUACCCAUUAAUUAUUCCUGCAUUCACACCGCCCUGAAACAUACCCUUCGGGAUAAGUUCCUGAAGUUACGAGCAUGCGCAGUAUGGUCUGAUAAGCAGCAAGGCGCGAAAUUCAAAAUCACUAGCCCAGCAGCAACCCAUGCACGGCGCCGCACCCAACGACACGCUGGGCUAAAAGUUCCCGUAAUUUGCUUUCAGACCGCCAAAAUACCCACGACCUUGAAAAAAUCCCCGCGAAAGUUCUCGUAAUUUCGCCAAGUACCUACUAUUUAUCGGGUAUUUUCUUUCGGGGAUAUUACGCGUAGUUUGCUUUCACACCGCCAAAAUACCUGGUAUUUUCUGAUCGGGGUAAAUUUCCCGAUCAGAGAAUACCUGGAACUGGCAAACUUCGAGGCGGUCUGAAACCACCUAUUGUCAUGGAUCCUAUCAGCUUGCUGCCAAAUAAUUCAAUCAGUCCUCUUGAUAAAUAUUAGUAUGUUUGGGCAUUUCGAGUCCAGUGUUAUGGUUCAAAAUGUUGCAAAUAGGUAAACAAAUGAUGUACCUACAUGUACAAUUAUCAUGGUAUACAUGUCAUUGUCUAAAUAUUUAAGUGUCUGGAUUAUCCUGUAUACAUGUACAUGUAUGUACUAGUUAAUAAUGCAAAAAAUAUUAUCUUGAAAAGGAGAAAGAAAGGAUGUUAAAGGGUUGAGUCAAUUUCUGGAAACUCCUCUUGUUUUUAUUCAAUUAUUCAAUAAUUGUAGGAGCAUACAUAUACACCUGUACGCUUUUUUUGUAGUCUUACAAAUACAGUAUCGUUUCAUGGGACGUUAUUAGGGCUGAGUCAUCAUGUUUAUUUGAAAAAAAAAACGUUUAAACAUAAAUAAAUGGGCAGGGCGGUUACAUUUAACGUUGUGUAAAUGGGAGAAAAAAUUUCAAAAAAUGAAAUCACUGAAAAACUCCCUUAAAAUUGCCAAAAUAUUCCCAAAUUCAUACCAUACUGUUUUUUAAAUGAAUUAAGAAUGUAUAUUUCAGUAAUAAAUAUUUCUAAUUUGAAUGUAAAAUGAAGUGAAACUGGAAUAUUUCCAUUAAAAAUAUAGAAAAUUCGCAUUUUCAAGUCUAGAUCUAGCACCAAUGUGAGUAUGUGGGGACAAAUAAAAGUCAUAUGGUAUGGUCUGUGGAUCGUUCAACUUGCAUCCUGUCCUAAAAUGCGGAUAAAUUUGAUUGCCUGUCAAUAUUUCCCUAUUUUGUGACAGUUGAUGAAAGUAUUUACUUACCAAAGUAAAAAAAUAUAUUCCAAAAUCAUCACUUAAAAUAAACUUUUUCAUGCAAGCAGCCAUCUUGGAAUCUGACAUCUAUUCAUUCAAUGUCAAGCUUUACUUUAAAUUCUUCCCCAUGCACUGCAAAUGCAAUGUGAAAGCUUAUCCAAUGUAGCAGAUUUAUUCAGUAGAUCAUGAAAUGUAGCCCCUGAAAACGGAAAAUUAAUAUUUGCCCAUGCCCCACCCCUAAAAAAGUUUAGCAUUUACUGCACCCUUAACAGGUUUAAGGAAAUCUUGGCUCGUGAGAAAAGGGUAUUAGUUUUCAGUGGUUUCUACUCUGUAUCUUUAUUCAAAUUUUCAUGUGUAUGUAAUACAAUUAUCUGAUUUACAGUCAUUUAGCUUUGUAUUUGAAAUUUGUAGCUGAUCAAAUAUUUCGCUCUUCUUUUUUGUUGUUGCUGGCAGGGAGAAGGGAUUAAUGACGAUUAAAACAGAAGAGCUAAAGUAAUUAUGUGCUUCAAAUCUAUAGCUGAAAGAGAGAAAAAGGGAAAUUAAUCUAUACGACUUUAUUCGUGUAACUACUGCGAACAGAUUUUGGCAAUGUAAUACAAAAAUAUCCCAUUUUAAAUUGGGAAUUGAUUAAAAUGCCAUCGUGCAGUACAAUGCAUUCUUUGUAGAUUUUGGCCCGUCUAGCAGGCUAGCUGUGCAUGUACCAGCAUAUAUUUCUUCUCCAUCAUAAUUGAUGAACAUGAAUGAAUUGAUGAUGAGAUUCAAAGUGCGCUAGGGAUACUUCAUAAUGCAUGAGCGUCACAUAUCUACUGUAGUAUAUAUUUUCUACACAGAGGUAAAUAAUUCAUGCACAAUGUGUUCUAUAUAUAGUAGCCCCUCUCUCAUCCUUAACAACAACAAUAACUUGGAGGAACAAUUAUUGAGAGUAGCCUCCAGAAAAUGGUUAUUGGUAUUUUUUAUGCUCUAAAUUGCACAUGCAUGUGUUUAUUUUCCCCCCAGUCUUUUCAAGAGCAGUAACAUAGUUUCAUGAAUGCAACUUGAUAAAGAAUUUUUUUGGCCUGUUAGGAGAAGGCCUACGUGUACUUAAGUCGGAGGCAGAUAUUUUCCUUCUUAUGCAGACAUGAAUACUAAACAGAGCAAUACAAGUACAAGAAACAUUUAAUCAAUUGCAAGUCAUUGUACAUCCCAAUUACUUAUCAUGAGUCUUGCAAUAAAUUAUUUUUGUAUUUAAAUGUUGGUCUGCUUCUUUGCAGUAAAAACAAAUUCCAACUUCAUUUGCUACAGAAUUAGGUUGAUCUAUCAAUUUUGAAUUUAUAGUUAAUUGCAACACCCCCUGAAAUUUUAUUGUCAAUAAUAUGAAAAGUGUUAUAUAUUCAUAUGUUUCUGGUACUUAAUAGAUCAUGUACAUGUAUGUAGAUGUUGUUGUAAGAUAUAAUUCUAGAAUAUCUCAUAAAAACAAAAUGAAUGCGAGGCAAAUACAUGCAGGGAGGGAAGGGGGGGUGGUUAAAGACCUACAUUGGUAGCGUCUUUUGGUUUUAGAUAUUUCUAUCCUCUAUCAUUGCUAUUUUGUAAGAUUAAAAAGUCAUGAGUAGGUACAUGUUUUUGCCAUCAUACAUUGCUGUAAUGAUAGCCAAAAUCAGGUAAAUUAUAACUUU